Molecule: ribosomal RNA, 497 nt
Filed under: uncultured bacterium
Lineage: Bacteria
Description: partial 16S ribosomal RNA
Rfam family: Bacterial small subunit ribosomal RNA
Source: RNAcentral
GAUGAACGCUGGCGGCGUGCCUAAUACAUGCAAGUCGAGCGAACAGAUAAGGAGCUUGCUCCUUUGACGUUAGCGGCGGACGGGUGAGUAACACGUGGAUAACCCACCUAUAAGACUGGGAUAACUUCGGGAAACCGGAGCUAAUACCGGAUAACAUAUUGAACCGCAUGGUUCAAUAGUGAAAGGCGGCUUUGCUGUCACUUAUAGAUGGAUCCGCGCCGUAUUAGCUAGUUGGUAAGGUAACGGCUUACCAAGGCAACGAUACGUAGCCGACCUGAGAGGGUGAUCGGCCACACUGGAACUGAGACACGGUCCAGACUCCUACGGGAGGCAGCAGUAGGGAAUCUUCCGCAAUGGGCGAAAGCCUGACGGAGCAACGCCGCGUGAGUGAUGAAGGUCUUCGGAUCGUAAAACUCUGUUAUCAGGGAAGAACAAAUGUGUAAGUAACUGUGCACAUCUUGACGGUACCUGAUCAGAAAGCCACGGCUAACUACGUG